This is a long non-coding RNA of Marmota monax (woodchuck), 10513 nucleotides long. RefSeq lists it as uncharacterized. The record is from RefSeq and is a predicted model, not a curated record. NCBI's taxonomy places the organism in Eukaryota, Metazoa, Chordata, Mammalia, Rodentia, Sciuridae. The transcript has 3 exons.
AAACUGCAAAGAGGGAAGAGACAGAGCCUCAGCCAGCGCCUUUCGGUACAUCACGCCUAUGAGGGGUAAGCAAAUGACAGCACGGCACAGCUCAGCUUUAGUCGGCAUAGACCAAAACCACUGAUUUGUACACUCUGAAGGUACACAUACUGAAUUAGUGAAGUAGUGAAUGCUAUGGUUUGUAAUUACAUCUCAAUAAGAGGUUAAAAACAUAAGAAAGGAGAAAGAAACUGCUUGAGACUGGAAACCAGCAAGCAGCCAACACAUCUCAGCAGAGCAGCUGUGACAGAAGAGUGGCCAACAGUGGCCAAUAGUUGGGUUGCAGAGUGAUUUUUCCACCUGAGCUCUUUUCCUCUGUGGGUGCAUCAGUGGUCACAGGACAGCACCCUAUGGGGGAUGCAGUCUUCCCACACUGGCCCUGGGAAGCCCAGUGCUAAUGCUCCUUCCCACCGCUGACCACUGAUAGGAGCUGAGUGUGUCAGUCAGCUCCAUGUGGCAGUCAGCAGCCUGCUUCCCAACCAGCUCUGCUACCGCCAGCCUGCGACCUCCAGUCACAGAGGCCACCUCACAGGCUGCGUGUGAGUCAACUGUGAGGGACAUGUGGGAACGAGGCAAUGCAGUCACUCUGAUUAGUUUGUUGGUGGUAGUUGUUAUGAGUGGCUCACCUACUGCUCUGAAAUUACUCCUUUGUGGCAUUUACAGACCUGUGUAUGGUCUUCCCAAGUCACUGUAAGUAGUGAAUUCAGGCCAGAAGUUACCCCCUUGACUUUUUGAGAUGACCACAUUUUGUGCAGAGCUGUAUACAAACAAUGGGUCCCACAAAGCUUCCUCGGGAGAGAGGAAGAAUACCUUGCAUAUCUGGGGCCGAGCUGAGGCAGAAAGACCAAGCCACCAACCCACAGGUCUCAGUGCCUGUGAGCCAGUGCUAAGUCCUAGUGAUGAAGGAGUCCACAGAUGCACACAGACUUCAUGGCUCAGGAACAACCCAGGAACUGUUGACAAUGUCAUCUCUGUUACUUCUCCUUCCCAGCACUGGCAGUGCUGAUGGCCCCAGUGGCAUCUAACUACUCGUACGUGAUAUGUUGACCUGCAAGGUGACUGUGGUUGCUGAGAACUGGAGGAUGUCUGAAGGGGCUGAGAAAUGGGCUGUGCCAAAUCUAAGUCAGGCACCUUCACCAGGCCCCAGCUGCUGUGUGGUCUUGGAUGAUGCCAGCAGUAACCUACUCUAAACAGCUUGAGUUUCACUUGAGAUUUCAAGGGUCCAUUUGUGCUUUUAAACAGGUUUGUUUAGAAAGAGGGUGAAGUGCUAGGGAAGUGCUCUACCACUGAGCCACAACCCCAGCCCUAAAAAAGUGUGAAUGGAAAUGUCAGGUUCCCCAUGAAGCAGACAAACCUCAGGAGCCUGGGUGAGUUCUGUGGCACCUUUCCGUUCAGGUUGCCCAGGAUCUCAAAGCCGUGGCAUGACUCAGACAGGGUCAUUUUCGGGGUCCAUGAGAGCAGCAGCAUGACAUGGAGGGAUGAGGACUAGAACUGCGCCAGCGCAGAACAGCUACUGGCCCACUCCGAUGUUGUAAGUGCUCAUUAUGUGCCAGUUACCAACUGAGCACUUUCUGGGUCUUCUUGCUUUCCUCUUUCUAACAGCAAGACUUAGGAUUUUUUUCCCUUUUCAGGGACCCACAUGUGAGUCUUGGGCCUCCUAGUAAUUCAUGAUACGAGUCGGGCAAAUUGUUCAGCUUCUUUGGGCCUUAGUUUCCUUACCUGUGAUGAGGACAAUUGCCCAAAUCUUCCUGGAUACCUGGGCCUGGACUGGCUUGAGAAUCUCUUGAGCUACACCUAGAAGAGCUUCACCCACCACCCAGCAGCCCUGGGACUACCAUCAUGUAUUGCCAUGGAUGAUGCCAGCAGUAACCUACUCUAAACAGCUUGAGUUAAUAGCCUGAAACACAUUGUCCUGGGUUCCAACUGUGACUCUUCCUAGCGGUGAGAUGGAGGGCAGGGCACAGCUCUGACCCUAACAUGCCACCCUGAAACUGGAAAAGUAGUCGGGAAGCCCCACAGAAGAUGCACCUGUGAAAGGCAGAUAAAGCUUCUCAUUUCCCUGAUGACAGGGAGCACUCAAUGGUGCUGGCAGCCUCUUUCCUCAACCCGCUUUGGGCCAAUUCAAGGGCAGGUCCUUUAUAGACACCACAGGGCCUCGAUUAGUUGUGAAUUUGUAACAAAUACAGUCCCGAAAAAAUGUGAAUGGACCUUUAUUUUAUGCAUUUAUAGGUGGUGCUGAGAAUCGAACCCAGUGCCUCACACAUGCUAGGGAAGUGCUCUACUACUGAGCCACAACCCCAGCCCUAAAAAAGUGUGAAUGGAAAUCCUUAACAUUAAAAGACAUGAAAAAGGGAUUUUUUUUUUAAAGAAUAGGUAACUAUUUCAAAAUGGCUAGUGGAUAGCUGGGAAAGAAAAAGGGAAGGGAAGGAUGCCAAAAGUUGCACCAAGCCUAAGCUCAGCACCAAGCUAAGGACUUCACUUGAACUCUCAUUAGUCCCGGACUAGUGCUAUGCAGGGAAGAACAAUGUUUAUACAGAUAAUGUCCACACAGGCCACAAAGAGAUAAUUAUCCCCCUGUUUCAAAGAGUUUUAGCGACCUGGCAGAGCUCCAGCCAGAAAACGGUAUUACCUUCCUAACUCUAUAGAGCUCUCUGAUGGGCAUCUGCUAGGCCUGUCCAAGGUGCUGUGACUUAAUAUGGAAACCUUAUCACAAUCAGUGAAGAUUCAAAAACAAAACAAGCCAGGCCUUGUGGCACACACAUGUAACCCCAGCAACUGCAGAGGCUGAGGCAGGAGGAUAGCAAGUUCAAGACCAAUCUUAGCAAUUUAGUGAGACCCUCAGCAUCUUAGCAAUACCCUGUGUCAAAAUAAAAAAAGGACUGGGGAUGUAUCUCAGUGGUAAAGUACCCAUUCAAUCCUAGCAGCAAAGAAGGAAAAACAAAAACAAAAAUCCCCCAAAUACUAAUCUUUUGAAAAAGUCCAAAAGCCCAUAGAAAAACUAUACCUUAAUUUGAUCAAUGCUGUCACCAGACAACUCUUGAAUAUGCUUGAGACUGUAUGUAAGGCCGGAGGGACUGAAGAACGUGAUGCUGGCUGGGACACCCUGGGGGAAGAGGAAACAAGACCCAUCCUUUGCCAGGAGACUGAGGGGAGACGAUGCCCCUGCCCCGGCUCCAUCAGCACUAACACCCCAAGCACAGGCAUCCAGCAGCUUCAACCAGGAGUAGUUCACAGUUUUGUUGUGAUUUUUCUGCCCCACAGAGGCAGAAUUCUGGUAAGGAACUGUUCAAAGAGCAGGCCGUGAUCAGACAGGUGGGUGAACAGGGCCCCUUGGUUGUUCUGCUGGCCCUCAGGGCUGUGUCUGGCCAGAGAACACGGGCAUCACAGAGCCCACAGGCCCAGCAGUCUGGACAAUGCCCCUAGUGCCUGUGGUCCAAUGGCACUGAGUCAGGCUGACUCACUGUCACCUCUACCUCUCCUCUAGUUGGAGCAGACAGCCUGCAUGGUCUCUGAUUUGGUUUGUCCUGUCAGGACCCCCAGAAUCAGGCAAGGCAUCAGGAAGCCUGUCCCAGGAGAGCAGAGGUGUCUUCUGAAUACAAAUGGUAAAGACAUCAAUCAACUCAGUCUGAGCUGUCCACUCUCCUGCCCUCGGCCUCCCAAAAUCAGUACAGACACGACAGAGGGCUCCUCCCAGCAUGGGCUCAGCCUCUGCCCCCACGUGAUGGAAAUCAAUGGCAUCAUCAAGGCCACUAUGCACCUCAGGCUUGCAUAUACCUUGAAUGCUGUACAAAGAGGUUUGCUUAAGUAGCUCCUUAUUAAUUAUCUCCUUAUUAAUCCUUCCACAAAUUUACUAGAUAAGUCUAUUCCUUUCACAGACCAAAAUGGAGUCUUGGAAAGGCCACUUCCUCAAAGUCACUUAUCUGGGAACACUGCAACAAUGUAGACAAUCAGCAUCUACAAGUUCAUGCCACUCAGCCUGUACUCUCACCAUAGGGGCGGGUUGGGGGGCUGUCCUGCCAGGUGUCUCCCUGGAAAUACCACAUACCUGCUUGGAAUAGUAGCUGUCCAGGUUCACUUGGAUUCCUGGGUGUGGAAUCGUCUGAUAGACAGUUAUGCUUUCCAUCUGAAUUCCUAGGCACAAUCAAAACAAGCAAACAGGAGAUGGGGUUUUGGCUCAGUGGUACAGUGCUUGCCUUGCAUGUGUGAGGCCAUGGGUUCGAUCCUCAACAACACAAACAAACAAACAAAUAAAUAAAUAAAUGAUAUCAUGUCCAUCUACAGCUAAAAAAUUAUUUAAAAAAAAAACACACAAGGAAACAGACUUUACUGCCCUAGGAACACGGUGGAACCUCUACCACCCAGUGUGCAGUUGGUAGGGAUCUCCCAGUGCAGCACAGUCCUCCUGGAACAAAGAGCUCAGAAUCUGAGAGGCAGAACUGAGGGCAAGAGGACCAGCUAGUCCUCUGAAGCCUGCUGAACACUGAGGAGCAGCCCCCACAAUGGAGGAGGCCGAGAAAGGAUAAAGACCCAAAAACUACAGCCUUUGUACACACAGGUGCUUUUGCUCCCAUGUUUGUGUAAGUUUGACAAUACAGGAUUGUCUCUGGCCACUCCAUGAAUUCCACACAGAUAGGAUGCUUAUGCCAGGAAACAAAGCCCAAGGACAGCUCUUGGCAGAGACUAUGAGUCAGGAGCUCCAGCUACAUCCCAGCUCUGCCUCUCCAUGACCAUGUGCACCUCCUGGUCUCAAGGUACUAUCCCCAGUGAUGUGGUCAAUGUGCUUUAGUCACCUUUGUCCUUCAGCAUUUUUGGCAGGAUUUCUCUUUUGAGGUUUCCGCAGGGAAAGAGAAGAGGAAAUGCUGGUGACUCUCCUGCAAACACAGAACCAGACUUUAAAAAACUUUGUAAAAAUUCAGGGGGCAGGCCUGUGCACAGGGCCUGGGGAGGGCAGCUCCUGGGAGGAUGAAGGUGUCCAGGUCUCCAGGACCAGCUCUGCUUCUGGAUCUCAGUUCUGGCAUCUGUAAGUGGGAAGAGCAACUGCUACCUUGCUGACCUUGAAGACGAUUAUAUGAAGAUAAUGAGAGGUAUGUGGUGAAGGUGCUUAGAAAACCAACAUCCUCAGGAAAAAAAGGUGCUAUUCUACAUACUUCCUGCUCCCGCUGGUCCUGAAGUGGCUCCUGGCCUGUUGGCACUGUUUAGAAAACAAGUUUGCAAUUUACCUUAGUCAGAAAGGUAAGGAUCAGUGGUGUUGGCAUUGAGAUGAUUUUCCACUUCUAGAGGAGGCCUUGGAUGGGUCAGGGCUCACACUUAGGAGUCAGCAGGGAACCGGCAGUCAGGGUGCUGUAGCCACUUCCAACAAAGAUAGGCUUCCUGUCCACUGCUCUCCUAGCUAUGCCAGCAGCCAUAAGACCACAUGCCCAAAGGGCUUAGAGACAAGAUGCUCAGAAGGAUCCUGCUUCUCACCACGCCCCUCCACCCCAUCUCUAUUUUGCAAAGACUGAGGACGUUUUUGGCUCUAAAAUUGUUGCAGAAUAGCAAUGACAGCAGGCAAUCUGAAUGCUGACCUGCAACAUUACUAUUCAACAAUACUAACGGGCUAUAGACACCAGAAUCUUCCCCAAAUAUGAAAAAAAAAAGGCCUUUUGGUAGAAUCAACUGUUUCCCCCCACAUCUGUCUACCAGAUGCAAGAAAUUUUAAUGCGUGUUGGUCAUUAACAGACAUUGCAUAUUUUUUCUAUAUCCUUAGGGUCUCCCUGAACACGUUUUUUGGUGAAUAGAGCAAAAUAAGCUCUCCCCACCCAGCAGCAUCUCCAUGAAGCAGCAGCUAAGCAACUAGAACAUGUAUGUUACUCUAAGUCAGUAUGUAUAACAGCUUCCUACUGCUGGAUGUUUUCUUCAUCUAUAAUACUCUGUAAAUAUCAGUUCCAACAUAAAAGAAUCAGGAAAUUGUUAGGUAUUGACCACAGAUGCCUGCUAAGUUCUCUUUUCCAGUGUGAAGAAAUGAUUCCCACACAUAGAUGCCAUGUUCAGGAGCUGUUUUCUUAACCUGGGCCCAGGCAUUCCUCCCUGUCUACGUGUGGUGGGACAGCGGGUGCAGGAUGCUAGGGGUUACGGCUCUCCAUGGGGCAGCAGUGGGAAUCCAGUAGCAAAACAUGAAGUCUAACUUUCCAGCAAGCCUAGCCCCAAAGGCAUGCAAGGGACCUUCAGAAGAUUCAAGAAUCUCCCCAUUGCCAUAUUUCCUCCAAGGGCCCACUGGAGCACUGAGCUGCUCAUUCUUAUCCUCUGAUUCCUAGAUGGCUGGAAGUCCCUCCAUGGCACUCAGGAGGCUGGGCUGCAGGGAUCCCUGAGGCCUCCAAGAGAGUGCAAUCACUGGGCCCUGGAUCACAGAUAAUUGGGAUACAGAGAUCAGUUGAGGGCAUGGAAGAAGAGCCCAGCAAGCCUGCCUGGCUGCGAGGUCUUUACAAGUCCAGGAGGACAUUCCACAUGAACUGCAGUGCACCGGGAUUGAACCCAGGGUUUUUAGGCGGACACAACAUCUUUGUUUGUACGUGGUGCUGAGGAUCGAACCCGGGCCGCACGCAUGCCAGGCAAGCAGGCUACCGCUUGAGCCACAUCCCUAGCCUCCCAAGGCACUUUUCCAGAUAGCAAACUGGUGGCUACUCUGCCGAGAAUGAUGAUUGCUAUCUGUGCUCCAGAAUGUGGGACUUCUUGGAGAAAAGUGGUGUGGGCAUUCCUUUUAGGAGCACAAAAAGGCUGGCCAUUAACAAAUGAGAGCUUCAGUGUGAAUACCAUUAGCUUUUAGUUUAUGGAUGAUAGAUAAAAUCUGCUGAGUCAAAGGGGAAAAAUGCCAUGCAUAUGUAAACUGUUCAGGCUGUAGUGUAAACACAGACCCCGUCUCCCACAUGUUUGAGUCUUUUUUUUUUUAAUAUUUAUUUUUUAGUUUUAGGUGGACACAAUAUCUUUAUUUUACAUUUAUAUGGUGCUGAGGAUGGAACCCAGUGCCUCAUGCAUGCCAGGCGAGCACUCUACCAUUGAGCCACAACCCCAGCCCUGUUUGGGUCUUAAAGGGCUCAAUGCACAAAGGAAUCCUAAAAAACCCUAGGAACAGAAGAGAAACCUGAGAAUUUCCCCUAAGAUUGUAACUUAACACAGCAGAUCUGUUCCCUUGCUCUGUCACAGUGUCCUUAAGGAGCGCCAGGCAAUAAUGAAGGUUCUUUUACUGAAAGAUGCAAGGGAGGAUUAUUGUUGUACUGGAGAUUGAACCCGGGGCUUGUGCAUACUAGUCAAGCACUCUACCACUGAGUUACAUCCUCAUCACUUUAUAAAAAUUUUGGGACAGGGUGCCACUACGUUGCCUAGACUGACCUUUAACCUGGGAGCCUCCUGCCUUGGCCUCCCAGGUAACUGGGAUUACAAACAUGUGCCACCAUGCCUUGCUAUUGUUAACCAUUACUGUCUAAUUUAUAAAUUAAAUUUCAUUAUAGGUAUGUACAUAUAGGAAAAAAUAUAACCUAUGUAGGGUGGGUACUAUCUGAGUUUUCAGGCUUCUAUUGGUGGUGGUGGAUCAUAUUCCUGUGGUGCAGGGGACUAUUGUAUUGACAUCAAUAUACAUUUUUCCCUUAAGUACUAAGACAAUGGGAACCAUGCCUAGAAUACUAAUGCACAUAUACUUUGCUGUCUAUAAAGUCAGCACUUGCUCAUUUGAUUCCUACUCAACACUGUGAACAAGACAAUUACUCCUGUACCUGAGAGAGGAGGAAGCUGGGGGUCUGAGAAGUUAGUGGCUCUAGCUUUGUCUGCAAGGCCAAGGACUGGGAAUAUUUAGUCUGUCCUGAAGCCUACAAAGACUCUCAAAUAAUGUUCGGAGAAUGUGUGUUUGGUCUAGGGCCUCAGCCCUGGGUGUAGAAAGGCUGGAUCUGCUCCAACUCAGUUCAAGUGCUUCAACCAACACUUGGGCCUGAACAAGUCCAUCUGAAGGGCCUUCCCCAGUCAAUGGCUGACAGAGAAACUGCAGAUUAUCUAAAGUUGCAUUAAAUAAAUAAUAAAUCCCACCAAUCAUGGACGAACCUGAUGUAGAAUAUUUUAACAAUUGAGACAUUAGGAUAUUGCCACAAUGGAUCAAAGUUUUUAGACUCGUGUAAACCUGUGGAGUGAAAUCUGCCAGUUGAUGCCUAUACUGAAAAAGUGCCAUUUGGAAAAUCAGAAGGUAAAAUGAAAUCCUUGGUGAAAAAUCGAAAUUGAUCAAGAAAUGAUAUUUGAAGAUAUUAACAAGGUUAUGGGUAAGACAGUUAAAAAUCUUUUCAACAUUUAUGAGAAACCAUGGAAAUGUAAAUUAUAUCUAUAGAAAGAUAAUGGCUUAAAGUGGUAAAACAUCUGUAUGCUGAUGCAGUGGGGUAUGGUGCUUUUGGAAAAAUUUUGUCACAGAUCAAACUGGUCAGCCAAUGACUGUCUUUGUUUGUGACCCUGGCAAAUAACAUCCUCCUCCUUAGGCUCAGUUGUUUCAUUUUAUUUAAAUUUAUUAAAGAAUUUCUUUUGAGAAACCAUGGCAUGGUUCCUGGUGGAUAACAGAAACUCCAAACAGUAGGUGUCAUGAAUGAUAUUAAUAACUGUAGAUGUGUUCAAAAAGUGUAAAUAUAUAUGUUUUUCUGAGUUCUGAAUUGUUAUUGCAAAGUUGUCGCCCAGGAGGUCACUGGUCUGGGUUUAUAAAACCAAGCAGCAGUGGCCACAUGUAGCUCUCAGGUACCAACCCUGCAGUCAGAAGAGGGUGGUGGGCACCCUACCUUUGGGCAGCCAGAUGGAAGGUGUUCCUUGGGAUAGGGGCUGAGUUACAGUGUAUCAGCCCACAAGCCAACUAACCCUGAUUCUUUAAAAAACCCACAAACUUAAGAUAAAUAAAUUAUUAAAACCUCUUCUCAGGAUAUUUUAUGCAGACCAAAUGCAAAGUUACACAGCAUAUAUUUUCCCUCAAGCAAUUACAUCUGCAAAUUUGAAGUUAAGUUGUAACAUUUGUGAAGAAAUAUUGACAUCUUCUCUCCCUGGAUUUCAACACUGAGAAGGGCUGCACUGGAUCAUGCACUUGACCAGUCACUCAGCUGUUCUAGGUCUCAAGACAAUUUGCUCAUUUUCAUUUCAUUUGACAGAAUGGAAGAGCAAAAUGCAUACUGAUGCUGCUAAAGUCAAACUGAAGGAUACGUGAUAGCUCAAAAUCUUUAUCAGCUAAUGUGCAGAAAUCUGACUUUAGAGUAUAAAAAUCCAAGUUGGAAAAAUUAUAACUAUAAUGUGUAUGGAAUAGUUGAGUUUGGGGUAGAUGAAUUAGUCAGAUUUUCAUCACUGUGACCCAAACACCUAAACCACUUAGAGGAAGAAAGAUUUAUUUUGACUCAUGGUUUCAGAAGUUUCAGCCCAUGGACUUAAGGUGAGGCAGAGCUUCAUGGUGGAAGAGUGUGGUGGAGGAAAAGCUGCUCGGUUCAUGUCAGCCUGAAAGCAGAGAGAAAGGGGAUGGGAAAAGAUAUAGGCCCCAAGGAACCACUCCCUCCAACUAGGUUCCACCACCUCUCAAUAGUCUACGCAGAUUAUUAAUUCUUCAGCGGACUAAUCCACUGCUGAAGUCACAACCCUCAAGAUGCAAUUGCUUCCCCAAAGCCCCACCUCUCAACACUGUUGCACUGGGGACCCAAGUCUUCAUCAUAUAAGCCUUUGGGGGACAUCCAGAAACCAUAAGAGGACACAAGUCAGAAAUUGCCUGUAUUAUUUUCUUUCCUCUUCUCAUUAAAAAAAAAAAACAAAACAGUAAAGUAAAAGCAAUUUCUUAUUUUGGAGAACUGACAUGGAGAGUGGAGGUGGUUCCUUUGGCAACUAAGCACUGAGUCCCUCACCUGGUUGACUUGCUGAGCUUGUGGCAAGUUAUCAGCACACAAGAUCCAGGAGUUAUCUCUAAUUAGUCUAACAACUUUCAACCCAUUUCGUCCCUAAUCUCAUUUUGUUCUCUGGAAAAUGUACUAAUUUCAUUCAUACCACAAUAUUUCCUCCAAUAUUUUUAAACUCAUUUGGACAAAUGAACUAUUUUGAAACUAAGUUAUAGGUUAAUUUAUUUGUUUCUGGUCAGCAUUGUUCUAAAUAUUUAAAGUGUUAUAAUAUUAACUCUCAACAAUUCACUCUAUGUGUGUUAGAGAACUAAUAAACCACUACAUGGAGAUUACUAUUUUAGCCAUUUCUUCAAAGAAUAAUUCAUUGGCAUUGAGUACAUUCACAAUGGAAUUCAUGGGUCAAAGUUUACGAAUAUUUAAAUAAAACUUUUGAAUAUGUACUGAUCAAGAAUUUCUUAAAAGAUGUACCAGUUUUUAAUGUCACUUAGAAAUGUUUUAAUAUAUUUAUUUCACUGCACCCUAUCAGUAGCAUUAAAUAUUUAACUAAUUAAUAACUUUCUGCAAUUUUGUAAAUAAAAACAUUUAAAAACUGAAUUGAUGUAUUUUAC